This 72-nucleotide transfer RNA is filed under the name Ornithorhynchus anatinus (platypus). It matches the Rfam family "tRNA". From Rfam's summary of the family: Transfer RNA (tRNA) molecules are approximately 80 nucleotides in length. Their secondary structure includes four short double-helical elements and three loops (D, anti-codon, and T loops). The record is from Rfam by way of RNAcentral. Lineage: Eukaryota; Metazoa; Chordata; Mammalia; Monotremata; Ornithorhynchidae.
AGUAGCGUGGCUCAGUGGAAAGAGCCCGGGCUUGGGAGUCAGAGGUCAUGGGUUCGAAUCCCACCUCUGCUG